Molecule: ribosomal RNA, 634 nt
Filed under: uncultured Carnobacteriaceae bacterium
Lineage: Bacteria; Bacillati; Bacillota; Bacilli; Lactobacillales; Carnobacteriaceae
Description: bacterial SSU rRNA
Rfam family: Bacterial small subunit ribosomal RNA
Source: RNAcentral
UUUUCUAUGGAAGCUUGCUUCCACUGAGAAGAUAGUGGCGGACGGGUGAGUAACACGUGGGUAACCUGCCCAUAAGAGGGGGAUAACAUCCGGAAACGGGUGCUAAUACCGCAUAGUUUUCUUGAUCGCAUGAUUGAGAAAGGAAAGACGGCCUUUGUGCUGUCGCUUAUGGAUGGACCCGCGGCGUAUUAGUUAGUUGGUGAGGUAACGGCUCACCAAGACGAUGAUACGUAGCCGACCUGAGAGGGUGAUCGGCCACAUUGGGACUGAGACACGGCCCAAACUCCUACGGGAGGCAGCAGUAGGGAAUCUUCCGCAAUGGACGAAAGUCUGACGGAGCAACGCCGCGUGAGUGAAGAAGGUUUUCGGAUCGUAAAACUCUGUUGUCAGAGAAGAACAAGUCGGAGAGUAACUGCUCCGGCCUUGACGGUAUCUGACCAGAAAGCCACGGCUAACUACGUGCCAGCAGCCGCGGUAAUACGUAGGUGGCAAGCGUUGUCCGGAUUUAUUGGGCGUAAAGCGAGCGCAGGCGGUUCCUUAAGUCUGAUGUGAAAGCCCACGGCUCAACCGUGGAAGGUCAUUGGAAACUGGGGAACUUGAGUGCAGAAGAGGAGAGUGGAAUUCCAUGUGUAGC